Molecule: RNA transcript, 4243 nt
Organism: Helianthus annuus (common sunflower)
Lineage: Eukaryota; Viridiplantae; Streptophyta; Magnoliopsida; Asterales; Asteraceae
Exons: 4
Source: RefSeq, a predicted model, not a curated record
CCGAGGGGGGUAAUAAAAGAACUCUUAACUUGUUCUAUAAAUACACAAUCCAUCAACAUGAAUCAAUCCCACUGAUCAUUCACCAAAACCAAAAUCUCCAUUCACACACACCAAAAUCCAUGGCUCGGUUCCUCUCCCAAACCCUAAUCCGAACCACACCAUCAACCUCCCUACAAAUCUUCAAACCAAACCGCUUCUCAACCCGACCCGGAAAAUCACAACUGAUCGAAAUCGAUCUGGAAUCGGAAUCAGAUGUGGAGGUUUUAGGGCUACGAAAGCUGGAAGAUGCGAUUCAUAAUAUUAUUGUGCGGCAAUCGGCUCCCGAUUGGCUUCCGUUUGUUCCUGGAUCGUCGUAUUGGGUGCCUCCUCCUCCUUCUCAUCGUCAUGAUUUGUUUCAAGUGUUGAAGAAGGUUGCGAAUCCCUUGACGGAUGAUGAGGCUAUGGCGGUUGGUUCGUCUCGUGGUUGGCCUUCUUCUGCUUAUUUUAUUGAAGAUACUUCCCCAGUGCAUCCUGUGGAGGUGAAAUUUGAUACCAAUCAGGAUGAGGAAGAAUGAACUCACAUCUACCAUGUGUUGUAAUCUGUAAGUGUGCCACCUCUCAUUAACAUCUGAUUCCAUAAUUGUUAUUGUUGGUUUGUGUAUUUUUUAAUGUUCUGGAAUACGCUCAUCGCUGCUUUUUGUACAUAUUUAUAGUAGCUAGAGGGCCAUAGGUUGAAUGUACAGUUAGGUUUUAUGGCUGUUCUUAUGUAGGUAGGUUUAUAUUGUAAGUUUACUGUUGAUUUCUAUGUAAUAACAUAGGCAUGUAUGGAUCUUUUAUAAGCUUCUACCUAUCUCUCUGUUGUUUCUAUGUCAAUAGAAUUGUGAUUUUAAUUUCGCAACUAAAAUCAUGAGUUUUAUAAUAUAGUUUUGAUUUGAAAUGAGAUGAUCAUUGUUUGGUUAUAGUAAUGCAAACAGAAGUAUCAAUCUUAUGCUAAAUUGUCAAGUCAUUAACAAAAGCAAUUUUAUUAAAGAUUUAUGUCAUAAUUAAGGGUGGUGGUAGGUCUCAACUCUUAAUUAGGUAAUGCAGUGACAAUGAGUGGUGACUGGAAGUAGGCGAUGAUAGGAGGUAGACAGACACUCGACCCGAGGUGGCUGGUGGGGAUCGAUAACAUUGGCUGUGGUGUGUGGGCUGUGGCCGCCAAUGACAGCAUGACAAAUGGACUGGAAAUGUUUGUAAAUCCUUGAAAAACAACACUUUUGAAGUGUUUUAAAAAUCGGUUCAUUUACCUGUUAGAAGAUAUGUGAUGAAUAAAGAAAUUGUUUACUCUAGAAAUUAAGGGGUUGUUUGGCAACCUCGGUAAGUGCUGAACUAGUAAAAGGUAAGAGGUCCGAAUGGGUAAGAGACUCUGAACCAGUAAGUGUUAAGCUAGUAAAGUGUUGUUUGGUUGAACAUCUGAAUGACUAUGAAGAAUGACCUUUCUCACCCCUUUGACCAACUUUGUGCUAUAUGAAAUAUGUGUUUGUUUAACGCUUUGGGUGGGUGACUGUACUGAAUAAUGAAUAAUUAAAAAAGAAAAAUACAAAACAUCAUAGAAAAAUAUAUACUUAAGAAACAUCAUUGAUACUCUAGGCUACAUGUAAUGGACCACCUGAGUUGAGUGGAUAAUAGAGUAGACAAUGAUGAGGAACACGAGGAAGACCACAUUCAGGACAACCACCUUUUUCCAAUCACUCUAUAUGUUAGACUGCUAUGGUCUCUAGAUCAAGUAGUGAAAAACUUGUAUUUUUUUUUAGAGAUGCAUAUUCAACUCUCACUUGGUGCAGAGUGAAGCACUGGUGGUCAAUGAUAGGAGACCUAGGGAAACCUGGGUUAGAUCCUUGAGCCAAACGGGUUUUACCGGUAAUUUCACUGUCGCGUCUACGGGCGGGUGGGUUACUGGGUUUUCUCUGGAAUUGGUGGUGGACUCGGGUUACUCUCGGAGUACUCCGUUUGUCUAGUGGGUGCCCCGAGAGUGCUCGGGAUUGAUUCUGGGGGCCAUGGGGGUAGCCCCAAGAGUGCUCGGGAUUGAUUUUGGUGGGCCAUGGUUGGCUGGUUCAAUGUAGCCGUUGGGGGUAGCAGGUAUGCAAAACUAAAUUUAAAAAAAAAAAAUACAUUUUUUACCUAUAAAUACCUAACCCCAAACCAUAUUUUCCCAUUCUUCUUCACCCAUACCGACACACAAAAAAAAAAAAAAAGAAAAAAAACCGAACAUGGUGCAUUGGAUCGAAGAGGAAGAAAUCGCACUUGUGACAUCGUUUGUCGAUGCACAACGUACUCUAUAACGAGGUCAAACACUUAUUGGAGUCGAACGUUUCAACAAUAUCAACAACACGCGUCAUAACUUAAACGCGUGUAGCACGUAUAUGUACAUUGAAGGAACCAAUUGUUCUGAAUAUCAUUUGAUAAUGUACAUACAUGUUCUAAUGAUAGUGUACAUAUAUCUACAAAUUAACAAAUUAUUUAACUAUGGAGAAAAAUGAUAUGGUUUUAGGGUUUAGCUUUAGGAUUUAGUUUUAGGGUUUAGAGGUUAUGAUUUAGGGUUUAGGGUUAAGAGAUUCUAGUUAGGGUUCGACGAGCCGGUUCCAACGCCGCUGUAGUGUUCCUCAAUGAACCUCACACUAUACAUAUAUGUAUAAAUGAAUAAAUUUUAUAACGGAAGAGGGAACUAAUGUAAAUAUAUGUACAAAUUAACAAAUUAUUUAACCAGAAAGAUAAAAGUUGAGAUGAUACAAUCAAAUAUUUAACUAGAGAGAAAAUUCAGACUUUAUCCUUGUGCCAUUUUUAUUUAUUUUUAGUUUUUAAGAUAUAAAAAAUGAGUGGUCCAAAUUGGACGUUCUGUAAGUUCUCAAGUUCCUUUCGGUUGAAAAAAUUGUAGUUAUAAUAUCAUCAUUCAACUAGAUCCACUAAUGUCAAAUGGUAAUGAGAAUUCACUAGCGACUUAAACAGAACCAUCCUAUUUGAAGAUUUACACCAUUUUCUUGAGUCUCAUUUAACAGAGGAAGAUGAAAGAAAAAAGAUGAAAAUAUGAAAAAAAUCAUGUUCCCGAGAUUUUUUAAGGAAAGAAGGGGAGGGGAGGGAAAAGGAGGAAAAAGAGAAGAAAAUUUGUACGUAUUAUUAUCCUCCAAAAUUGGAAAGAUUAUGAGAGAAAAUUUUGACAAUUACUAAGUUACCCUCGUAUUUAAUAAAUCUCACCUUCAGUUAUUUUACAGAUAAAUUUUGGCGCAACUUUUUCAUUCCCAUCUCUCUUCACCCAAGUUUCACUCUCUGACUUCUGACACCACCACCCAAACUCCGACCACCACUCGCCACCGCCAUCGGAUCUCUCUCGCAGAACCACCGUUAAAAGAUCGCAAUUCAUCAUGAGCAAACAUGACGUCAGUGAAAAUACCAGUGAGAAAGAAAACAUGAUGUGGACGGAAACUAUGGAUAAUGCAUUCAUACAAUCCAUGAUAACGCAAGAGAUCAAUGGUUAUAGGAUUGGUGGAAAUUUUACUCCACAAGCAUACAAAAAUAUGGUUGCGGAGCUUAGCACAAAUCUUUAAAUGACUUUUACCAAAGCUCAUUUGAAGAAUCGUUUAAAGACGUUGAAACACCGUUUUUCUGCCUGGUAUGAUAUGUUUUAGGGAACGUCAUUAAGUGGGUUCUCAUGGAAUCCUGAAACUCAACUAAUUGAAGUGAAGGAUGAAGUCUAGAAAAAAUUAAUAGACUCAAAGACAAAAGCUGCAGCAUUGAAGACGAAGAUAGUCACAAACUAUCAUGAAAUGCUAGAACUAUUUGCAAAGGAUAGGGCAUUAGGUGCACAAGCUGAAACUGCUAAAGAAAGAAAUGCCCGAUUGCAGAAGGAUGAUGGCAUUAACACAGAAACACCUCCAGAAUUGGAUGAAUUCUUAGUUGCCAAUGAUGCAACUCUAAAGAGCCAAUACAAUCUUGAUGAUGAUGUUCAUGUGGUUGAUCUUACGUCUUCUCUACCCGAGCAGUCUUCUAGUGCAAAGAAAUAUAAGAGUAGAAAAAGAAAAGUCGAACAAGAAGAUGAUGGUUUAACCUCAAUGAUUAUGAAUGGUGUUGGAAGCAUAGCUAAUGGUAUCGCUGAAGGUAAUAAAAUUAUUUAGGAAAGCAAUAAAAUACUUGAAAGAGUUCAUCAUCUCGAGUACACAGGUGAAGAAAUUAUUAAAGAACUGGAACUGAUGGGUUUGGAACCUCAAGAAAUACCACUGGCUUUCAAUUA